GAUGAACGCUGGCGGCGUGCCUAAUACAUGCAAGUCGAGCGAACAGACGAGGAGCUUGCUCCUCUGACGUUAGCGGCGGACGGGUGAGUAACACGUGGAUAACCUACCUAUAAGACUGGGAUAACUUCGGGAAACCGGAGCUAAUACCGGAUAAUAUAUUGAACCGCAUGGUUCAAUAGUGAAAUACGGUUUUGCUGUCACUUAUAGAUGGAUCCGCGCCGCAUUAGCUAGUUGGUAAGGUAACGGCUUACCAAGGCAACGAUGCGUAGCCGACCUGAGAGGGUGAUCGGCCACACGGGAACUGAGACACGGUCCAGACUCCUACGGGAGGCAGCAGUAGGGAAUCUUCCGCAAUGGGCGAAAGCCUGACGGAGCAACGCCGCGUGAGUGAUGAAGGUCUUCGGAUCGUAAAACUCUGUUAUUAGGGAAGAACAAAUGUGUAAGUAACUAUGCACGUCUUGACGGUACCUAAUCAGAAAGCCACGGCUAACUACGUG
This 497-nucleotide ribosomal RNA is filed under the name uncultured bacterium. RNAcentral's name for it is "partial 16S ribosomal RNA". It matches the Rfam family "Bacterial small subunit ribosomal RNA", at positions 28 to 507 of the family's 1533-position model. The record is from RNAcentral.